Molecule: ribosomal RNA, 1970 nt
Filed under: human gut metagenome
Description: bacterial LSU rRNA
Rfam family: Bacterial large subunit ribosomal RNA
Source: RNAcentral
GAAAGUAGGAAAGGGCGCAUGGCGGAUGCCUUGGCUCUCGGAGGCGAUGAAGGACGUGAUAAGCUGCGAUAAGUCACGGGGAGGUGCAAAUAACCUUUGAUCCGUGAAUCUCCGAAUGGGACAACCCGAUAUCCUGAAGGGAUAUCACCUCAUCUAGUUGAGGAGCUAACGCAGGGAACUGAAACAUCUUAGUACCUGCAGGAAAAGAAAAUAACAAUGAUUCCCCCAGUAGUGGCGAGCGAACGGGGAAUAGCCCAAACCAUUCAUGUUACGGCAUGGAUGGGGUUGUAGGACCACGGCGUUGCAAGAGAUCUUGUGAGAAGAACAGCCUGGAAAGACUGACCACAGACGGUGACAGUCCGGUAUUCGAAGCAAGACGAAGCAUAGUGGUAUCCUGAGUAGCGCGGAACACGAGGAAUUCUGCGUGAAUCUGCCGGGACCAUCCGGUAAGGCUAAAUACUCCCGAGAGACCGAUAGUGGACCAGUACCGUGAGGGAAAGGUGAAAAGCACUUCGAACAGAAGAGUGAAAGAGUACCUGAAACCGUGCGCCUACAAGCGGUCGGAGCACGAAAGUGUGACGGCGUGCCUUUUGCAUAAUGAACCUACGAGUUACCGUAUCUGGCAAGGUUAAGGGUCACGAGACCUGCAGCCGAAGCGAAAGCGAGUCUGAAGAGGGCGUCGAGUCAGUUGCGGUAGACGCGAAACCAAGUGAUCUACCCUUGGCCAGGAUGAAGUCUGGGUAACACCAGAUGGAGGUCCGCACCAAUAAGCGUUGAAAAGCUUCUGGAUGAGCUGAGGGUAGGGGUGAAAGGCUAAUCAAACUUGGAGAUAGCUCGUACUCCCCGAAAUGCAUUUAGGUGCAGCCUUGUGGGUUACUGAUGUGAGGUAGAGCGACUGAUAAGAUGCGAGGGCUUCACCGCCUAUCAAGUCUUGACAAACUCCGAAUGCGCAUCAGUUUUACCUCAGGAGUGAGGGCAUGGGUGCUAAGGUCCGUGCCCGAGAGGAGAAGAAUCCGGACCACCUGCUAAGGUCCCGAAAUGACAGCUAAGUUAAACUAACGAAGUCUGACUGCUAAGACAGCUAGGAUGUUGGCUUGGAAGCAGCCAUUCAUUUAAAGAGUGCGUAACAGCUCACUAGUCGAGGAGUCUGGCGUGGAUAAUAAUCGGGUAUUAAGUUGUCUACCGAAGCAGUGGGAUCAUUGAAAUGAUCGGUAGGGGAGCAUUCCAGUCAGCGUCGAAGGCGUACCGCGAGGUAUUCUGGAGCGUCUGGAAAAGCAAAUGUAGGUAUAAGUAACGAUAAAGGGGGCGGGAAACCCCCUCGCCGAAAGACUAAGGUUUCCUGAUCAACGCUAAUCGGAUCAGGGUAAGUCGGGUCCUAAGGCUCAGCCGAAGGGCGAUGCCGAUGGCAGAAACGGUUAAUAUUCCGUUACUACCUCCAGGAGUGAUGUGGAGACGCAGUAGUGACAAUGCCGCCAUCUGACGGAAUAGAUGGUUGAAGGGUGUAGAUGUUGAUCUUGGCAGGCAAAUCCACCAUGAGAAUCGAACCUGAUAGUAUGCCGCGUCCCUCGGGACAAGGCAAUAGUGCAUGUAAUCAUGCUGCCAAGAAAAUCCGCUAAACAAAAUCCUGUAGGUACCCGUACCGUAAACGGACACACGUAGUCGGGAUGAAUAUUCUAAGGCGCUUGAGUGAUUCACGGUUAAGGAACUAGGCAAACUGACCCUGUAACUUCGGGAUAAAGGGUCCCUACCCGGUGACGGGAGGGCGCAGAGAAUAGGUCCAGGCAACUGUUUAACAAAAACACAGGGCUGUGCUAAAUCGAAAGAUCCUGUAUACAGCCUGACACCUGCCCGGUGCUGGAAGGUUAAGAGGAGACGUCAUCGUUGAGAGAAGCGUUGAAUUGAAGCCCCAGUAAACGGCGGCCGUAACUAUAACGGUCCUAAGGUAGCGAAAUUCCUUGUCGGGUAAGUUC